This 253-nucleotide ribosomal RNA is filed under the name uncultured bacterium. RNAcentral's name for it is "partial 16S ribosomal RNA". It matches the Rfam family "Bacterial small subunit ribosomal RNA", at positions 524 to 776 of the family's 1533-position model. The record is from RNAcentral.
UACGAAGGGGGCUAGCGUUGCUCGGAAUCACUGGGCGUAAAGGGUGCGUAGGCGGGUCUUUAAGUCGGGGGUGAAAUCCUGGAGCUCAACUCCAGAACUGCCUUUGAUACUGAGGAUCUUGAGUUCGGGAGAGGUGAGUGGAACUGCGAGUGUAGAGGUGAAAUUCGUAGAUAUUCGCAAGAACACCAGUGGCGAAGGCGGCUCACUGGCCCGGUACUGACGCUGAGGCACGAAAGCGUGGGGAGCAAACAGG